AGAGAACUAUGAAGCAUGGUGUAGACAUUGGAGAACAUCCUCAUGGCUGUGGUAACUAGGAUGUUUGAUCAAGAUUACAUCUUUAUCAGAGCUGGAGACUGACCCCUACCCACCACUGUGGUAAUUCAUUCUGUUCACAAGUCCGCCAGGCCCAUGUGAUCAUUCAUCUCGGGUGCGAGGGUCCCGAGGCAAUUUAAAUACCAGCUUCAAUCAGCCAUGGAGGUGAUGAAGAAUACUGGGAUCUUCAAUGGCAGGAGACAGAGUGAUCAGAAGACCGAGAUGAAUUUUAACACUAUUCUAGAAGAGAUUCUUAUUAAAAGAUCACAACAGAAAAAGAAGACAUCACCCUUAAACUAUAAAGAGAGACUUUUUGUGCUAACAAAGUCCAUGUUAACCUACUAUGAAGGUCGACCAGAG
Molecule: long non-coding RNA, 417 nt
Organism: Enhydra lutris kenyoni (northern sea otter)
Lineage: Eukaryota; Metazoa; Chordata; Mammalia; Carnivora; Mustelidae
Exons: 2
Source: RefSeq, a predicted model, not a curated record